UCCCUUGGGUGCGGGGUCCUGGGGCCAGGGGGCCCUGUCCUGUCCUCUGUCACCAAGAGCUACUGGGUGGAGACCGUGCCCAGCAGUGCCUGCAGUGGGGCCACUGCUCCCCACUGGGUCCAUCCCCAUGCCCCCUUCCCUUCCCCACACCCCAUUCUCACCCACCCAGUGCCCUGCGUCCUCACUCCCUGUUAUGUUUCCAGCACAUUUUGGUCCCAGAUGUUUAAUUUCAGCUCCAGCACUGGGUUUCCAGCCCUGUCCCAGCUCCAGGCACUGCACACACACCUGAUGCUCCAGCUCAUUUCAGCGCUGCCUAAUUACAGCUCAUGCCCUGCAGCUCAGCUCCACAUGGGCUGUUCCAGCUCAUGCCCUGCAGUUGAGCUCCGGGUCUACAUUUUUAAUUCAGGCCCUGAGUUUCCAGCUCCAGGCCUUCAUUCAGCUCCAGCCCUGCAUCUCAGUACACACCAGCUCGUGCCCUGCCGGCCAGCUCCAGCUCUCACGGCUCAGCUCCAUCCCUGUAGCUCAGCCCCAGAGACCGCACGCUGCGGGUAAGAGAUGCUCGGGCUUCUCCCAUCUCCAGCCACCUGAUGCUGUUUUGCCUUGUGUUUCACCACCAGCACACUGUUUUCAGCUCAUAUCCCUGUGUUCCACGUUCCACGCCUGGAUCUCUAUUCUCAGUGCAUGACCUGUGUCUUCAGCUCAUGCCAGUGUAUAAGUAGUGGCUGAUACUUAUUUGUGAUUUUGUUCCUGGGUUUCACCAUCAGGAUGCUGUUCUCAGUUCACAUUGUAGCUUGUGCCUGCUGUUUCCACGUUGGGUCUUUAUUCUGUUUGUGACCUGUGAUUUCAGCUCGUGCCAUUGUACAAAUAUAUAAGCCUGUGGCCCCUGUUUCCUCCCUCCAGAUCUUUUUUUUUCAGUUUGUGUCCUGCAUUUCAGCUCCAGCCCCUGGACACUCUGGUUCCUUGCAGUCUGAGCUCUCCAGCUGGGCACUAGCAGAGAUGCUCAGGAUCUGACCAGCUGCUUUAAGCAGGUUCUGACAAGGCCAUAAAUCCAUCGCUGUCAUAAGUGGGGUACCAACAUUAACCACCACAGCUGCACGCUGCAUAAAUAUUGCCUGGCACAAGCACCGAAUAAAGAGUUGAACUGCAAAGUCGCCUUUGGUGCCCUUGGGGGGGGGGGGGGGGGGGGGGGGAGGGUGCAGUGGGGUUUUAAUUUUUAAAG
Cygnus olor (mute swan) is the source of this 1219-nucleotide long non-coding RNA. RefSeq lists it as uncharacterized. Lineage: Eukaryota; Metazoa; Chordata; Aves; Anseriformes; Anatidae. The transcript has 3 exons. The record is from RefSeq and is a predicted model, not a curated record.